UCCUGGAUAGCUCAGCUGGUAGAGCGUUGGGCUCAUAAUCUCAGGGUCAUGGGUUUGAGCCCCACGUUGGGCA
Molecule: non-coding RNA, 73 nt
Organism: Podarcis lilfordi (Lilford's wall lizard)
Lineage: Eukaryota; Metazoa; Chordata; Lepidosauria; Squamata; Lacertidae
Source: the annotation of a GenBank genome assembly